CAGUGUCCACUCUCUUUCUCUCUCUCUCUCUCUCUCUCUAACUGAAUCGAUCGGCCAUGGACGACCUCCCCCUCCAGAAGAUCGCCAUCUCCGGCCCCACUCUCUCCUCCCUCCUCCAGCGCGUCUCCUCCUCCCCGGCCGACGCCGACGGCCUCCUCUUCGGCCACAUCUCCCCCGUCGCCCCCUCCACCCUCUCCGACGACCCCUCCUCCGCCGCCACCGCCGCCUCCACUUCCAACUCCGCCGCCCUCGUCGCCACCGUCACCUCCUUCCUCUGCCCCGGCUGCCCGCUCUCCUUCUUCGACUCCCUCGGCCGCCUCCUCUUCCCCUCCCUCCUCCACCACUCCCAGCACCGCCUCAUCGGCUGGUUCUCCUCCCGCCGCCGGUCCCGCCUCCAGCCCUCCAUGCGCGACUUCAACGUCGCCGCCUCCCUCUCCUCCGACCCCUCCCUCUCCUUCCCGAUCGACGCCUCCGACGGCUUCUCGCCUCGCGUCUUCGUUCUCUUCUCCACUCCGCCCCUCGACUCCGCGAUCCACACCCACGAGUACCGCGCCUUCCAGUUCCGCACCGCCGCGGACACCUUCGAGCCGAGGUCGAUCGACGUCGUCAACAUCGGGCCCGGGUUCCGAGGGCACUACGGGAAUUUCAGCCCGAACUCGUCGUUCCCGUGGUUGGCCUGCGAUUCGAGGGGAUCGUCGAUGAUGCAGGAGGACGGUAAGGAAGAGCGCUUGAGUGAGAUACGGCAGGUUGCGAAGAACCAGAACGAGAUUGAUUUGAUUGAGCACUUGAGUGAGAUGAGGCAGGCCGCGAAGUACCAGAAUGACAUUGAUUUGGUCGCCGAGGGUUUUCCGAUCGCGAAAUUGGGCAGACUAAUGGGGCCGGAAGCCAGUAGCUACACUGCUGGGUUGGAGGAGAUGUAUGAGAAGAUGUUGACGAAGAUCGACAGCUUGGCCAGGCUCGUUGAGAACAGCUCUGCUCAGGUCCUUCAGAUGGCUUCUCAUGUUGGUCAAUCUGAAUCAGUUUUCUGUUAUGUGCUAACUUGGUAUGAGCUUGUGUUGCAUUCGUGGUUAGGAGCAACAUAAUUCAAAGUUGAGGGCGGAAAUUGCUGGGAUCAAGAGGGUUGUCAAUUGCUAGCGUAGAGAGAAGUGCUUGAUGUUGCUAAUGUGUCAAAGGUGGCAGAGAAAGGUUUUGAAGACCCCCUUGCGACCAUUUAGUGGCAGAAGAGUGUGAUGCAUUAAUAAAUUUACAGGGGAUUUGAAGCUAGGUGGAUGAUCGAUGGGGAGGUGAUGCGAUUGAUACUAUAUUCAAUUAAUCGUUUUUGGGAGAGGAUUCAGCAACCUCCAUAUCGGAAAUGCGAUGAUGACUUCGUAUUUUUUCCGCAUUUCGCUUCGGUAGACGUUUGGGUCUAUUGUAUCUUCUGGGAAUUGAUUAACUAUGACCCUCCCCGAUUAUGAUAAAGUGGUUGAAGAUGAUUU
RNA transcript from Rhodamnia argentea, 1475 nucleotides. RefSeq lists it as uncharacterized. The transcript is spliced from 4 exons. The record is from RefSeq and is a predicted model, not a curated record. Lineage: Eukaryota; Viridiplantae; Streptophyta; Magnoliopsida; Myrtales; Myrtaceae.